Molecule: ribosomal RNA, 253 nt
Filed under: uncultured bacterium
Lineage: Bacteria
Description: partial 16S ribosomal RNA
Rfam family: Bacterial small subunit ribosomal RNA
Source: RNAcentral
UACGGAGGGUGCAAGCGUUAUCCGGAUUCACUGGGUUUAAAGGGUGCGUAGGCGGUCGGGUAAGUCUGAUGUGAAAUCUCACAGCUUAACUGUGAAACUGCAUUGGAUACUAUCCGGCUCGAGGAAUGGAGGGGAGACUGGAAUACUUGGUGUAGCAGUGAAAUGCGUAGAUAUCAAGUGGAACACCAGUGGCGAAGGCGGGUCUCUGGACAGUUCAUGACACUGAGGCACGAAGGCCAGGGGAGCAAACGGG